Long non-coding RNA from Haplochromis burtoni (Burton's mouthbrooder), 2494 nucleotides. RefSeq lists it as uncharacterized. The transcript is spliced from 5 exons. Lineage: Eukaryota; Metazoa; Chordata; Actinopteri; Cichliformes; Cichlidae. The record is from RefSeq and is a predicted model, not a curated record.
CCGACUCACAAAGCUGAGGCUCGUUAAAAGCUGUAAGUUUUCUCUCGUUUGGAGAGUUUCUAUUUAGACACGCCCCCUCUCUCUCUCUGUCUGUCUCAGUCAGUUUGUGUCUCUCGUCCAGGAUGAAUGUGUUGCUCUCCGUCUCUCUCUGGCUUGCUCUGAUCAUGUCGUCCUGUUGUGGCAACAGUGAGAAGGCGGGCUCUCCCAAUACAAGAAUGUUUGACUCGGAGAAUAGCACAGACUAUGACUACGAUAACUACGAUAAUGAGCUCGGCCUCAUGAACGAGGCUUCAGGGAUUGGUCAGAUGAAACUGCUGCCUCUGCUGGGAUUGGCUGUCCUUCAAAUCUGGAACUGACUGUGGGCGGAGCAACGACAGAGAUCAUAGUGAUGAUAAGACGGUCAUCAGUGAAACACUGCGUGAAAAUGCAACAAAAAACGACAUUAUCUUGCUAUCUGGGAUGAAAACUGUAAUAAAACGUGGAGAAAAUAAAAGCUUUUGAUUUGUGAAGUGAUUGUUUGUGCGUUUUGGAUCAGCUCUGACCUGAAUUAUGUUAGCGUGCCUAACAAUUAUCAGCACUUACUUCUCAACUUCUUUUAAAAUAUUUUGCAUAACCAGGUGAAUGAAAGCUUGAUCGAGUGUCUUUCUGCUGUACAUCCUUCAGAUGUUAGACUUAGCAGUAAAAUUAAAGCGUUAUUUAAAAGGCCGUAAAACCACAGCCAGUCUUCUUUUCCUGCAGUGACAAACGAAGCAGAAAUGAAAGUUGUUGGAUGCGCCGUGCUGUUGGCCGUCAGAACUGAAAGGAACAAAAACACUGCCAGCUUAACUGUAGGAAAAAGGAAAGAGCAGCCUGACAGCUGUCAGUCUGUCCAGCCUCGUGUUAGGAAUCAUCAUUGCUCUUCACAGGUGAUAUUUUCUGAAAACUGAACUUCCUCCAGCCGUCAGAUGUUGUUGUUGUUUUUUACUUUAUGAAGCUAAUUUGUAACCAUGUUUUAUUGUUGUACAAAUCUGCUUCAUGGACACUUGUUACUGAAAUAUUUGUUUUAUUUUAUGAAGAAAAUACAAUUUUCUAUUAAAGUCGUGCCAUAAAUCAAACAUUUCUAACCAAGAAAAUAUAUUCACCUUUUAAUUAAUAAAAUAUAAGUACAGGGUAAGUGUCAGAGACCAACCAGAGGCCAGAACUCCACAAGCAAGAAGCUCUGUACAGAGUUAUGAGCAUCUAAGAGUAAGUGAGUAAAACACACCAGAGCCCCUGCAGCAGGCUCACCUCAGCACCUCAGAGACUCUGGAUGGUUCAAGCUCAGACAUGUUCAAAUAGUUUUGGUAAAUUGUCUGCAGAAAUUAUGUCACUCAGCAGGUUUACCGGUUUUGUUUUGUUUUUUAGAAACUCUGCAUAAGCAGGAGGAGAAGGUGGGUGCAGCCCCUCGGCUGGCUUCCAAGAAGACUUCUUUACUUAGAAGAAAGUGGACGUUUGAUUCAGUUCAGUCUUAUUCAUGUUGCUCCAAAUCACAGCAAUAACAGCCGCCUCAAAGUGCUUUACAUCAUAAGGUAAAGACAUCCCCCCGUCACCAUCUCUCUCUGCCUCGCUCUGAUCACGGCGUCCUGCUGUGGUGAGUUACUUUAUCCCAACAUGUUCUCACUCCCUAAGCGUAAUAUUUGACGCUGGGUGACAAAUCGUAACAUUUUACGCUUUUGCAGAAGGUCACCUUUCGCGUUCCUCAUGAACGCCCCGAGAGUGAGAACGGGCUGGUUUAUCCACCCUGGUUUUAUUUGUUGUUGUUAUGUGUGCGUGUGUGUGUUUAAGUCACAGCAUUAUUUUUCUGAUGUAAAUUAAAAAUCACUGAACUGUUACAAACAAAUUCCGCUCUUUUUAUGUUUAUUUCUUAAUCAUGAAAAUAAUUAGAAGAACAGUCCUGAUGUUGUGUGUGACACUUACACGAAGAGCAGAGUCAGUGACAGCCUGUUUCACUGUUACCGACGCUGCUUCAUUUACUCCAAUAACAUAAAAAUAAACACAUUAAACUUGCUCCAUAGAGCAAAGUCACACCUGGAAUUGUUCUGGGUCAGUUUCAACCCAGUAUUUUGAGUUCCUUAUGUUUUGGUUUAUUUUGCAUGUUGGAGUGUUUUGGGGUUGUCUGGUGUUUUGAUUAUUUGUGAUGUAUUAUAUUACUGUGAUUCUGGUUUAGGGUUUUUGUUCGCAGGUUUUGUGUGAGUUUAGUUCUGUGUCCUGUCUGCGUCCUCGUGUAGUGUUUUCUUGUUUCCUGUUUUAUUGUGAAGGUCUGCGUCUCAUGUGAGUGUGUUCAGUUUUACAACUUGUCUCAUCUUGUUGAUUACUCCCAGCUGUGUCCCCACCUGUGUGUGAUCUCCCUGUGUUUCUCUGUCUUUGUAGUUGCUGGUCUGUCUGUCCACCCACCACGUUUCAUUUGUGUGUUCCCUGCAGUCAUCGUCAUGUACCAUCGUCUUCCUUCCUUUAUGUCCAGGUGAAGCCGCUAUUC